Herpailurus yagouaroundi (jaguarundi) is the source of this 2643-nucleotide long non-coding RNA. RefSeq lists it as uncharacterized. Lineage: Eukaryota; Metazoa; Chordata; Mammalia; Carnivora; Felidae. The transcript has 2 exons. The record is from RefSeq and is a predicted model, not a curated record.
CCUCGAGGGAGUUUUAUCCCCCAGGUGUAGCUAGGACACGAGGGUCUGUGGAAAGGGGCAGUACAGGGGCUUUCCGUCAUCAUCGGUGACUGCGUUUGACUUAAGCAGGGUGGACACAUUGCGCACGUUGUUUUAUUUCCUGGAAGUAAGUUGGGCCUCGACUGCUUUGGAGGGGGUUUGGAAAAAUCCUAUAGACUGAUGGAGUCUUGUGGAUUUCCCGACAGACAACCCCAUUCUUUCCCGUGCCCUCCCCCAUUCCAUCCUCCCCUUCCUGCCCUUCCGUGAUGAUCAGGGGUGAGGGCAUUGCCCUAACAGACUGUAUAUUUCUGAGUGGUGGUCAUUAAUUUUCCUCGGCUUGGCUGAAGAAACCUUCCCGUCACCUCUUUUGAAUGUCGAGCACCGCCUUGGCGUGAAUGAGUUUGACAACAGAACCUUGUUCUGCAGCAAGAGGUUGGCUUGGUUCCACUUCCUAUUAAUUUUCUUGUACAAUUAAGGCACCUAGGAAAAUAGUUGAAGAAAGUUUCCAUUUUGUGGGCUAAUAAUAAAUGCCACAAGGUAGGUUGCCGGUAUUUUGGCUUGGGUUGUGAUUUUUGUACAGAAGGCGUACGAACGAUGGUUACCAUGAAGGUGAAUUAGAAGCACAUAAUGACUUGUCUUUUGAACUUUGGAAAUCCGGAAGUCGAUUUACACAGAUAAUUGUUCUGAAGUUUUCACAUCUCACUUUCGUAUUUGCCCAACAUCCUCGCCAGUUUCGCUUCUUGGAAGGGCAAAUGUUUGGAGACACGUUGUAUAUUCUCCAGCGCUCAAGACUUGAGUUCCCUCCCCCCUCACAGUCUGUAAUUGUGCAGGUUUGUGGAUGGAGCCAGUCUGCGGGGACUCAGCCCAUCCUUUCAGUUUUAAUUAGUUGUGAAAUAUUAGCAGGAAGGCAAAGUUAUUUUACGUUGAAGUGACUUUUUUGGGAAGUGGCAAAUUAAAUUUUAUGGUAACAGCUGUUCGGAGUGGAAUUUGUCAGAAAGUUGAUGAGAAGUGAAUGCUUCCAAUACUCAGAUAUAAAUCCUCAGCUUAAAAAAGGUACAAGCUGCGAAUAAAUGAGGGUGUUGAAAUACAGAAAAAUGUUUUUGUAAAUACAUGUUUUAAAACCUAAGCACUGUGUUUUUUUACAUUACAGCCUAAGUCUUUCAAAAACAAUGAUUGCUCUGAUUUUGCAAUGGGAGUCUUUGUUUAGUUUAGAAGCCAAUAAUGACAUGCUAAAAAAGAAAACAUAGCCUAGUAGGGAAGCUCCCUAAUGGUGAGCAUACUGGAGAAAGAAAGGAACAGGACCUUCGUACAUGCUGUUCCUCUUCCUGGAGUACCGCCUUCCUCACCCCUACCUCCCAUGGACGUAACUUUGCCUCCUUGAUGACUUUCCCUCACUUGCCCGACCUCAGCUCUCAACAGGGAUGUCUUCCUGACUUGGCUAGUUCUUUCUACUGUAAACUCCUACAAGCCUUAUACAGUUCCUCUUAGCACUUACUUUAUAUUUACUUGAAUAAUUCUUUAUUCUUCGAACUCCCUGAGAUAAGACAGAGUUUCCUUAUUAUCUUCUGUUAUUAUCGUGUCAUUGCUGCCUUCGUACAAUGCCUGGCACACCGAUAACUGUUUGUUCAGUGAAGGAGUCCAUAAAUGAAUAGAGUUUGGGAGGCUAGAGGAAGGCUGGUCCAAAGAUUUCGGCCCAUGGCCUCAAGUCCAAAUGCCUUUGGGGCUGGGCAGCCAAAGUAAAUGAGCGGAGUAGACUUUUGAAGCAAUGGGACGUGCUGGGCAAACCAGAUAGAAUGUCUGGGGCGGGGCCCUGCUGAGUGGAUGCUGUCUUACCUCCUUCAGUGGCGACUCCUUCUUUCUACCACAGGGAUGUGGGCUUGGAUGGUGGCAAAUUUGAAGGACUCCCCAGGCAGAUGGGCUGGAGUGGGUGGACUUAAAUAGUAGAGAGAACUGGGGAGGAAGGAUACUGGAGGGCAUGGAAUGCCAGGAAGGUUUCUGAGCGGAGGCGAAAGAUUGUCAGAUCAGGAAGUGUUUAGGAAGGAAAUUUUGACAGCGUGGGAAGCCUUCAAGUGGAUCUGGAGACUUGUGGGUUCGCAGGCUAACGUAAUAGUCCACACCGGAGCUAAGUGAGCCAGGGCCCUGGGAGAAGUGUGGUGGUGGAACCAAUAAUUUACUGUCUGGCAAUAUUUUUGCAAAUACAGAGACAGACACGUAUCAGAAGGAUAGAUUUCUGAAAAUUCUGCUACUCUUCAUCAAAGCCUUUCUGGAAACAACAGAAAUGGCCACUGGAAAAGGAAAUCAUGAGAUUUUAUUAGCAGGUGCUAAAGAAAUAUUCUUGGAAAGAUUGAGGAGAAGCAUCCCUUGCUUUCUCUUCUGACUUGAAAGCUCACCAGACGCCUCAGACGCCUCCUGAAACCUUGAAUAAAAGCAGCCUCAAAACUAUGCCAUGGAGGAUGUUUUGGACCCGCGGACGUCCAGAAGCCACUGCUGUUCUGUGUGCGAUCCUGCUUUGUGUAAAAGUCCCAGGCCUGUGUCCCAGAACUUUGGUACUCAGCUGCACCUGACGUGGGUCUGAAAAUAAUAGGUUGGUAAUAAAGUAGAGUAAAAUAUUAUGGAGCCACUGCA